CUAAGUAUGUGCCUGAUAACUCAGUUAACUUCCUUCUUAGGCUUCCCUCUUGCCGUUAAUACAUUUGGGGUUAGUUCUCAAGUUAAUAUGAGAGAAAAAGUCCCCAAGAACUCCGACCUUGGAAGGUCCUCGGAAGCCAAUCCUUUAAUAUACUAUCACAGCUACUGAUCAUUGCCGGCACCUCCUACCCCACUGGCAUACUUUCUUAAAGAAUGUCUUUGGUCAAUGACUUAAUGGCCAUAGAGGUGCCGUCAUGUGGACAGAGGCUAUGAUGCCAGAGUUAGCUGCUUGAUGACCAUUUGAGGUCAGCAGAGGCCAUAGUAUUACAGAUAGUAAAAGACCCCAAUAUAUGGAGAGGGAAAGCAAAGGCAGGAGCCUGAAUAUAUCCAGUGUAUUUAUGGGCUGUCAGUUCUGCGUCUGGUGCCAGGAAAUCCAAACCUUACAGAUGCCCCCAUAAUAUGAAGGCUUCCAAGGGUGCCAGGCUCAGUUGGUGAAGCAUGCCACUCUUGAUCUCAGGGUUAUAGGUUCGAGCCCCACAUUGGGUAUAGACAUUACUAACAUAAAUACAAUCUUUAAAAAAAACAAAGGAAGGCUUCCAGCACAGGCCAAAACCUCUGGGCCCUGAGCAUUAGUCCCAUUGCCAUUCCAGUCACAUAACCCCAGGCAGGCAGCCCACCCCACAUCUAGCCAUAAGAUCAAAAGCUGCAGACUAGCCCCUCAUCCAAAAUUAGGCAUUAAGCAUCCUCCCUAUUUGUCACAUCGCUUCCUUCACUCCAUCACUCCCAUAGAGCCUCUGGACCCCUUCUCCUACAUGGCUGUCUUGUAUACACUUAUCCCAUGCUUCCCAGAGACCAUUAAAUGAACCUCAGUACUAAAUUGAUCUUCUACAUUGCUUUUCACUAACUCAUCUAGGUAGACAAGACCUCAGGACCUUUCUACCUCCUAAACCCAUCACUGUCAUUGACCUAGGUGCAGAGGGAAAGUGACCCAAGGACCAGGACACCUAAUCUACAAACCCCAAGCUCCAAAUGAAUAGUCCUUUUAUCUCCUCACAUAGCAAUAACAAGGUUCAGAAGUCUCAGUACCAUCAAACCAGGUUUAGAUAGACCUACUUUAUAAAGAAACUAGUUUAUAGCUUGGACUUGGGGAAAGAGAAGGAGAAACCACCAUUUUCUCUUCCCAAUUUUCCUUGUACCUAGCUUCACAACUUACCAACCAACACUCCUCUGAUUCGGAAAUCAGAUUGGUAGGUCUUAGGAAAGAACUACAUGAAGAGAAGCCAAGCAGUGCCCCAAAGGAACACUGACCUCAACUACCUUCUCGGUGACUUCAAAGCUCCAAUGAUCAAUAUUUGCUCCCAAUUUAGCAUCUCACAGAGGAUUUCCUCCUAACCCUAGAAUAGUCUGGCCUGGUUUCUGCUCUCUGGUUAAUUAUCCACAGAGACUAACCAGAGGUCUGAACUCCAGUACCCCAAAAUACAAGAGGCAUUUUCAGGGUGAGGCUACCAAAGAGUAAUUAUUGAGUGGCCAUAAGGGUAACCUAUUUUGGAGCUCUAGUCACCGGCGGGAGGGUGGGAAACAGCAAAGCUCUAAGCCUCUUGACACCAUGUCCUGGAGCCUAGUGUUAUGACUACUUUAUGGACUUGUUUUGAAGUUGUUUAGUCCUGACAUCCAGUCCUAUAACGCCAGUGAGAAAGCCCAGGGAUCAGGACUAAAUGUGAUCUCCCAGAAGCUAGCUUAGAAUCUCUUCCUAAACGUGAAUGGGACCUGGGAGGAGAGAAGAAAGUUAAGGGAGGAUUGGCAUGAAUAAAGCAGCCAAAUGAGCUUUAGGUCUAAAUACAACUAAGUGCCUGAGAACUAGUGGGGCAGUGGAGAGAAGGCUGCGCACUGAGGUCAUCUUGACCUUGGGAGGACCUCUUUAAAAUGGACAGAGGUGAUGGUGCCCCCUGGUGGCUAAGGGUAAGUGGGAAAAUGCAGCCUAGGCUUCAACUGAAAAGGCCUGCAUAAGUAGAUCAAACUCCUGUAUUUAAUGGGUAACUAAAAUUUAUUGAAUACUCAUAAUUUCCAGGUACUAUCUAAAUGUGGUACAUGCACUAUCUUAAUUAAUCCUCACAAAAACUCUAAAGGAUGUAGGUAAUGUUGGUAUCUCUAACAUUAGUUAGUAUACAGAGGGGGAAACCAAGGUUUAGAUAAAGUAUUCUGCUCAGGACCAUAGCUUGUAAUUGCCCAGAAGCUGUACCUUAACUACUAAGCUGUACUGUUUAUAUGGUGAUGACUAUGAAUUAUCAGCUGUAACUCAGGAAGGGGACUUCUGAAUCACUGUUAAUGGUCUUCUGGGCACAUCAACUCAGUGUGUUCUGUAUUUUAAAUAUUUUCUAAAAUAAGGAAUAAUCUUACUCAACUAUAAAAUGUUUGUACAUCCAUACCUGAAAUACAUGAUAAAUUGGUGACCCUCCCAGAAUAUAUAAAGGUAGGAGAGAGAAACACUUAACACCUAAAAUGACUGGUGGGGUAGAAUGGGUUUCUUAUUACAAUCAGUCUGGAAAAAUAUAAUCAGUCUGAAAGGAGGAUAUAAUACUUUUUCACUCCCUCCCCCCCGCCCAGUGCUUUUUCAUUAUUGAUUAUUAGAGUCAGAGGGCAUGGUAGUUUUCAAGCAAAAGUACUAGUGUACACAGCCACUAGGAACUACAUGGAGACUCCACUAUAGGAAUGAGAUAGAAAGACCCAUUGGCCUAGGGAUAAGACAAUUGCUAAGGUUGAAGUCUUGAUUCCCUAAGACACAAUCUCUUUGAACUUAGUUUCUUCAUCUGUAAAAAUGGGAGCAACAUCUAUUUCUUAGAAUUGUAGAGAUUAGGUAAGGUGUAUGUGCUUGUUAUAGGAGUAUUCAACAUAAACUAGUUCCUUUGCCCUUGCUAUUCAUCCCUGUCCUGUAUUUAAAGGAUUCUUGUCCUUGCUAUGAAUCCUUUUUAACAGCAUAAAAAUUCUCUAAAAUUUAUUUUUUAAUUUUUUUUUAAUGUUUAUUUAUUUUUGAGACAGAGAGAGACAGAGCAUGAACGGGGGAGGGUCAGAGAGAGAGGGAGACAUAGAAUCCGAAGCAGGCUCCAGGCUCUGAGCUGUCAGCACAGAGCCCGAUGCGGGGCUCGAACUCACGGACCGUGAGAUCGUGACCUGAGCCAAAGUCGGACGCUUAACCGACUGAGCCACCCAAGAGCCCCUCUAAAAUUUAUUUUUAAAGGACUGGGUUUUCACAUGAUAAAUCUCCUACUCACAUCCAGAUAUUAUUGAACACUGUAUUCGAGAAUGUUUCUUUCAGUUCUAACAUUUUACUGAUAAACUCAUUUAGAAGGCAUCUAGAGCUUAAGGUGUAACCAGAUAUGCAAGGUUAGCAUUUGAUCUACCAAAAUACUGGGCUAGAAUCAUUUGUUGUAGGGAGCCUCCAGAAACAUUCAGAUAAAUUCAUGGAUUCCUUGUGGUAACUCAUGACAUGAAUAAAGAGAUGUGCAAAGAGUAUCCUCCUAACCUUCUGAGGAUCAAGUCAAGGAGGAUAAUGUCCACUCUUCCCUAUGUAGGACACACCCCUGUGUAGCAAUGGCAAAGACUGUUGAGCUGGAGAGUUCUUAACAGCUGUACCUUGACAGACUAGUGAGGUGUAUCACAAGUAAUUUAUUACCAACUAACAUUACUUUAUUAAAGCUUGUGAAUUAUUUGCUAUUUUGUACAUUAAAACAAUUUUGAGUUCCCUAUAGAGUACUUCCGCACUUGUGAUAAGCUCUCUGAUGGAAGAGUUAAGUUUUUAGACAGGAAGCAGGCAAUGGACAGAAUCCUGGGUAUACUCACAGGGGUAUGAAGAAUGUGAACAUUAUUCAUGUGCAUCACAGAAGAAAAAAUAGUAACAGCUGGUCUGGAAAACAGACUUGACAGGAUACCGCAUUUCUUAUGGCUGAUGAGAGAAGAAGGAAUUAACACUAGAACCUGAGUUGUCAACUAAUAUCAGGAUACUUGCUCUGAACUAGUUCAUGUGUUAGAUUUCUCAGGGAUUUGUGACAUGAAAGCCUUGUUGAACACAUUCGCUUUGUGUGUACAGGGUAUUAAGAGAAAAAAAAGACUUAAAACAGAAGCUACUUUACAGCUAUAUUAGAUCAUAUUGACAGUACGGAACAUUAGCCUCUUGAUCCAAUUUUGCCACUAAAUACAGACCUUCAGGACCUGUGGUAUCUCUAGGCCUCAGUUUCUUCAUCUGUAAAAUGGGCAGAGAUGAACUAUAUGACCUCCAAGUUCCCUUUACAUUCUAAAAUGCUUAAUUUAAAAAGUCUUCAAAAUGUUUAUUCAGUUAUUCUUUCCCUGAGGUAUUCCUGGGAUAGAAGGGUUCCAUUCCAAACCCUGAGAUAGACAUACCUCUGGAUCAAGGUGUUUAAGAAGCUCCUCAAAGAAGGAAAUGGCCAGGACACAAAGGAGCUCCUCUGUUCCAGCGCUUGAGGACCCGGAUUCCGCCCCCAACCUUCCCCCCCCCCCGCCCCCCCGCGGUGAGUGAGAGCGCGAGCGAGGGACUUGGGGCUCAGUCCCAGACACUACGUCGACAGGUGAGGACCCAGAUGUUGGUACUUAAGCGUUGGCUGCCUAGGGCUCACAGGGCUAUGUGGCAGCUGCGGAACGGAGGUUGGCGAUUAAGUGAGGACGGAAGGCACAGAGAAGCUGCCGGCAAGGCAAGCAGCUGAUUCAGGCCAGGAGGCAGAAAGGUGGUGGGCAGAAGAACACUCUAUACCUGGGGCCUAUUUGGACCCACCACCUUCGAUUACUGCAUCCCCACCUCCAGCCUAUAGCUUUCCCGUGCGGACCAGCCCCCUUUCUGAGGACGCCGCCAUUGCCUUCGCUCCAGUCCAUUCCAGACCCUCAGUGCCACUCGCAUCCGUCCCACCUCUGCUCCCAGGGCCGCCGCCGUGGCCCAGGCGCUCGAAGACGGCCGGACUCUCACUUUACUCCCGACCGUAGCACCUGGCUGCGGGGGAGCGAGGCUGUCCAGGCUUCUCCAGAGCGCUCCGCCACUUUCCAGGCAAGGGUGACCCAGCGACUGCCUGACCCAGCUCCCCGCACUCUAAGCGGCCGUCUACGCACGGCUCCGAAGCGCUGCCGUGCGAGCCCUACACGGGAGACCGACCCCAAACCCGCCCCUCCAAACUCUCGCGCGAACAGGCAGCUCCGGAGCGGCUUCCAGGCUGCGAGGACCCCGGUGGAUCGCAGAAGGACCCAGACUUGCGUGGCGAGCAGCUCCACGUGACCACCAGGGGUCAGCCGAAGAAUAGGAGUGGCCUGAAGCAAGGACAGAGCCGUUUGGCAUAAGGACGCGGUCAGAGGCACGUGGGUGUGCCAGUCUAGGUGGGCUAGGACCUUCCAAAAGAAAGGUACCCUGCUAGCCUGUGAGAAGCCCUGGUUUCAAUACCCCGCAAACUACAUCUCCCAGGAAGCACCGCAGCACUUCACAGAUCCUGUUAGUAGCUACAAGUCUUCAGAUAACCUAAGACCUGCAGUUUGUCAGUUUCCCCAACUUUCCUUUUCCGAGGAAACCAUACUGUGCAUCUUAAAAGAAUCUGGUCUUAAGGUAGUAGGCAGCCAUAGCAAAGAGCUAAAAAUAACUGUCCAGCAAAGACAUAACUAUAUUCCUCCAAUAACCUUAACUUUGGACUCCAGAGCUUCACCUUCAUUUCUAGGUGGAAAUUUGAACGCUUGUUUUUUUCCAGUUGUUAUAGAAAGCCAACACAAAGAAAGGAGAGGAGAGCUUAAGUCAGAGCAUCCCACACUUGCAGGUCUCUAGUGACAUAGAUGACAAGCCAGUAAUACUUUUUUUUUUUUUAAUUUUAUAAAACAUGCAUUUUAAAACAAAACUUUAAAAAAUAACAAAACUUGGGACAGGAGAGUGGAUGGAAGACAGAUGCUUCUCAGCUGUCAGCAGGAGUGAAGACAGCAGUCAAGCUGUGUCUAGGACCCAAAGGCCCUUUUGGCAAUGAUGGUGUUGGCAAUACUGGUUUGCUAGGGCCACCAAUAUUCGAUGUCCUGGUCCAUCCAGGCAUCUCUCAAGCAGUCAGAGACUUGAACUCUCUUGAGCUACUGUUGUAUCCUAUCACUAACCAGGACUUCAGUCCUUAGCCAACUAGGAACUGAGAGUGCUGGUUCCAGGAGCGUUUUUUUGCCUGGAUAUUAAUUACCCAGGAUAUUUAUUGAGAAUAUCAAUUUCUUUCCAUUUGGGUCAAUUCUAGACUCUGUUCCUGGCCCGCUAUUUUGCAAAGAAUGAAAAAGGAAUCUGGCACCUCUUCCCUUUACAGCAACUCUGCUGCAUUCCAGUUCUAUUAAUAGCACCAUCUGUAGACCCUGAGCAGGUCCAAUUCUGGAAGCGGGCGAGGACUAGCCAACUUGGGAAGCCAUCUCCCAGUUCUGGGGCACAGAACACUGAGGGGAGAGGAGUAGUUCACUGGGAGAGGAUGAGGUCAGAGCGCCAACACUGAGGAGAAGACAGCUGCAUCUGUCAGAGACAAAAUCAAGAGCAUUGACUCUUAAGGUGAGUGGAGAAAAAGUGCCUGGAAUACUUUUUAUGAAGGAAAAGAGGGCAAACCUGCCCCAAACAUUUUAGAAUUAGGCAGGAGGAGGUUAGGAUCAGUGCAGACUUUCAAGAAUACAAUCUAUUUCACUGAAUGUUGGGAGGAUUAAAUGCUUUGUAAACUACUGAGUGCUUUACAAAUGUAAGGUAGAGUUGGUACAAUUGUUAACAUCACCAUCAUCAUUAUUAUUAUCAUGAGUAUAAUCUUCACAUAUGCAAUCAAAACCCACCCUGUCCACUCUCCCUUGUCCCAUCCCAGGCCUUACUCUUGGGACUGGUCUGACCCUCAGGCUCAGGAACCUUCCAGUCCAUCUUUCGGCCCUUCUCAUAAAGACCCUUGAGCACUUUGUGGAAGGAUUCCGGCUCUGUGCCAUUUUUGCUUAGCUCCAGAUACUUUCGGUAGAGCUGAAGGGCUGUACGGGCAUCCUCAAUACUGUCAUGGGUUUCCCCUUGAAUCUUCAGGUCUGAGGGAAUUAGAGGUGGAAUAGUUUGGAACCUAGCAAAGGAAGGUAAGAAUAUAUCCCAUACUCACAUCCCCUACUCCCAAUAACCAAUAAAAAAAAACUUGACUACCCGUAAGGGAAAAAGCCAAACACCAUUCCUAGUGCAGCGGGAUACUGAAGUUACUUAAAUCCAUUCAUAACUCUCACCACUAAGGGUCCUCCCUACUCCCUUCAUUCCAACACUUUUUCCUGCUCUUAAUGAGCACCAUAAGGGCCUACAAGGUACACCAACUCACCUAGGAAGUACCAAGCAAGGAACCGCAGGGAAAUCAUUCGUUUUCGGGGCAUAUGAAAGAGAUAGACAGUGUCAAGGACUUGGUCCUUGGGCACCUGGCAGAGAUAAAAGAGUGGGAGACUGAAGGUAGGUGAUCCAUAACUUCUCAUUCUCCAAAAGCACAAUGUAUACCCUAAAGGGCCCAUAUUCAAAGGAAACUUUUAAAAACAGCCCUGCCCGAACCAUGAGGUUGAUGACCCGGAAGUCCUUCUGCAGACCAUGACCCACAAACUUGACUCCAAUGUCUAUAAGAAAACGAAGCUUUAAGUAGGUAGACUUGAGAGUUGUGAGGUGCUUAGAGGAAAUCUUGGCAUCUAGGUCUCCUGGCUUAAUCCCCGAGUACUGAGUCAAGUAAUCCACCACCUAGGCAUAGAGAAAAGGAGAAGUUGCUCACGAAGUGAGGUGCGGAGUCUCUCCCUGCUACUCUUCCCUGGGUUCUAGAGCACUCUACAUAAGCACAAGGUCUGUCUCACUUGUACCUCCUAGUACAAGAUAUCCUAGUACCUGCUCCUGGGUAGAGAUGUAGUCAUCAAUGAAGGGGAUACCCUCAUUGGGUCCCUGGCCUCGAACACAAGUAAUCCUUGCUACUGACAUCUGGCUUGGUUUGAUGGUAGACUUGGUGCCAUCACUGCGUAACUCUGCUUCCUCCUACAGGAGAAGAGUUGAUAAGGAAAUCAGAGAAUAGCUUGUGAUGCCUAAUAUCUCCAGAGUUCUGUGCCAACACCACACCCUUUUGGUCUUGGUUACCUCAUUAAGAGUGACAAACUCAGCAUCCAGGCCCACCAGGUCCCCAACCUGCGGCAUCUCAUUCAGCAUCAGUGGAAUAAAGGUAGUAUGUGUUUUCCGCUGCUUCCGUGCUAGCGAGGCUUCAGCCAGCAGGACACUUGCCUCAAUAGGGUUCUUGACUGGAAGGGAAAAUCCAGAAGACAGAUGGCUAGUGAUAAGGAAGUAACCAGGGGAGGGAAACCCAGGAUGGCUGACCAGAGACUGGGUCUACACUGUGAUCUCUCAAUAAUCAAAGCAUGUGAAUAAGAAGAUUGUGUCUGCUGAACAGACAGAUGGAAUAGGUCAAAUCAGAAAACUACUAAGAAAUAUGCUAAGAGAAACAAAAAAGCAGAGAGGAAAGAAUAAGACUUUGACUUUUUUGGACUUUAGCUUAGAAAAUCCAGAAAAACAAAGUUACAGGGAAACUAUGGGUUUAAAGGCACGAAAAAGGGACCUAAUAAGAAGUCCAUCUGCAAAAGAAGAAAGUUUCACUUGGGAAGAAUGAUUAGACUCAAAAUCAAAACCUUAGCCCUUUUGAUCAGAUUCCCCCCAUCACCUCUUCCCCUCUACACUCUCAGCAUCUCCAGGUUCUAAAUUUAGAGCCUGAUGAAACAGGAAUCUCUUUAGUAUCACCCCUGGAAAUAAUAACACUGGCUACCUAUCCUAGUCUUAACAAGAUCUCUUCCAAAAGACCAAUCUAAACCGCCACACCCUUCUGUCUACUCUGUACCACUUACUGUUCAGGUUGUAUUUGGAAUUAAGAUUCCUUUUGACGUAAUAAAGGAUAGCAGGCACUUUCCAAUUCA
Acinonyx jubatus (cheetah) is the source of this 8936-nucleotide long non-coding RNA. RefSeq lists it as uncharacterized. NCBI's taxonomy places the organism in Eukaryota, Metazoa, Chordata, Mammalia, Carnivora, Felidae. The record is from RefSeq and is a predicted model, not a curated record. The transcript is spliced from 2 exons.